CUACUAUGUUCAGAGUUUGAUCCUGGCUCAGGAUGAAUGCUGGCGGCGUGCCUAAUACAUGCAAGUCGAGCGGUAACAGGGAGUCUCACCGUUUCCUUGACACACCUAGCGCAUUAUCGUAGGUUGUUGACUUCGAGGGAACAGUGAGAUUCUGCUGACGAGCGGCGGACGGCUGAGUAACGCGUGGGAACGGACCCCAAACUGAGGGAUAACGCACCGAAAGGUGUGCUAAUACCGCAUGUGAUCUUCGGAUUAAAGGAUUUAUCCGGUUUGGGACUGGCCUGCGUACGAUUAGAUAGUUGGUGAGGUAAUGGCUCACCAAGUCGACGAUCGUUAGAUGGUUUGAGAAGAUGAUCAUCCAGACUGGGACUGAGACACGGCCCAG
This 385-nucleotide ribosomal RNA is filed under the name uncultured bacterium. Its description in RNAcentral is "bacterial SSU rRNA". It matches the Rfam family "Bacterial small subunit ribosomal RNA", at positions 1 to 334 of the family's 1533-position model. The record is from RNAcentral.